CGGUGCAAAAUUUUCAUGUGGUUAGUGGUCCAUGGCAAGUGUCUGACGGCGGAUAAUCUUGCACGCAGAGAGGAUUGCACACACUUGUUUGUGCAUUGCCGAUACACGCAGCAGCUUUGGGGCUUGCUGAAAUCCUGGACUCGGGUGCAGUUCAUUAUGCCGGACGAUCGACACGGCUGCACGGAGGAGUGGUGGCUCGAGGUCAUAGCGGGCGUACCUAAACCAAUGUGCCGCAAUUUUGACACCAUUACGAUCUUGAUGCACUGGAGACUGUGGAAGGAGAGGAACUCCAGAGUGUUUGAUCAGCUGGCAAGCAGUGCAGAAAGAGUACUAGACGUAGUGCGUGAAGACAUAGCAGUGUGGCGAUCUGCGGGUUGCAUUACAGACUUGGGUCAUUAG
This 399-nucleotide ribosomal RNA is filed under the name Triticum aestivum (bread wheat). RNAcentral describes it as "partial small subunit ribosomal RNA". Lineage: Eukaryota; Viridiplantae; Streptophyta; Magnoliopsida; Poales; Poaceae. The record is from RNAcentral.